This 492-nucleotide ribosomal RNA is filed under the name uncultured bacterium. RNAcentral describes it as "partial 16S ribosomal RNA". It matches the Rfam family "Bacterial small subunit ribosomal RNA", at positions 29 to 507 of the family's 1533-position model. The record is from RNAcentral.
AGUGAACGCUGGCGGUAGGCCUAACACAUGCCAGUCGAACGGCAGCACAGUAAGAGCUUGCUCUUACGGGUGGCGAGUGGCGGACGGGUGAGGAAUACAUCGGAAUCUACUUUUUCGUGGGGGAUAACGUAGGGAAACUUACGCUAAUACCGCAUACGACCUACGGGUGAAAGCAGGGGAUCUUCGGACCUUGCGCGAUUGAAUGAGCCGAUGUCGGAUUAGCUAGUUGGCGGGGUAAAGGCCCACCAAGGCUACGAUCCGUAGCUGGUCUGAGAGGAUGAUCAGCCACACUGGAACUGAGACACGGUCCAGACUCCUACGGGAGGCAGCAGUGGGGAAUAUUGGACAAUGGGCGCAAGCCUGAUCCAGCCAUACCGCGUGGGUGAAGAGAGCCUUCGGGUUGUAAAGCCCUUUUGUUGGGAAAGAAAAGCAGCAGGUUAAUACCCCGCUGUUCUGACGGUACCCAAAGAAUAAGCACCGGCUAACUUCGUG